Molecule: unclassified non-coding RNA, 446 nt
Filed under: Hevea brasiliensis (rubber tree)
Lineage: Eukaryota; Viridiplantae; Streptophyta; Magnoliopsida; Malpighiales; Euphorbiaceae
Source: RNAcentral
UUUUUUGAUGUGCUAACAUCGAGGGGCUCUUCUCCUUUCCCAGUGCCAUUUAACAGAUCCUUGUUGCCGGAUUUUGAUCUUGUAUGUCUUCCUUGCACAUCUUUAAUUAUUUCCAACUUGCAGGGAGUAAUAGGCAAACUAACUUCUGAGUUGCCCACAUAUGGCACGCAUUCCAAGCCAGUUUGAACAGGGGUACCUGACCCAUUAUCCAUGCUUAUAUCAUCAACUAUUUGGUCCUCUGGUAAAUGCUUGUUCUGAAGCUUUUGCAUAUCAGAACCUGGCAUCAAGUUAGCUACCUGCAAUGCAUGUUCUUCAUCUAGCAAGGGAACUGCAUCCGCUAUGGUUCCUCCUCCACUCGUGCCACCACAGGUUAUAAUAACACUAUUGGACACAUUGGCAGAAACAAUUUUAUCACUAUCCUUACAAUAACUAAGAUAAUUGUCUGC